CAAAAACGACUCUCGGCAACGGAUAUCUAGGCUCUUGCAUCGAUGAAGAACGUAGCGAAAUGCGAUACUUGGUGUGAAUUGCAGAAUCCCGUGAACCAUCGAGUCUUUGAACGCAAGUUGCGCCCAAAGCCUUCUGGCCAAGGGCACGUCUGCCUGGG
This 158-nucleotide ribosomal RNA is filed under the name Hypericum galioides. Its description in RNAcentral is "5.8S ribosomal RNA". It matches the Rfam family "5.8S ribosomal RNA". From Rfam's summary of the family: 5.8S ribosomal RNA (5.8S rRNA) is a component of the large subunit of the eukaryotic ribosome. It is transcribed by RNA polymerase I as part of the 45S precursor that also contains 18S and 28S rRNA. The record is from RNAcentral. Lineage: Eukaryota; Viridiplantae; Streptophyta; Magnoliopsida; Malpighiales; Hypericaceae.